AGGACGAACGCUGGCGGCGUGCUUAACACAUGCAAGUCGAACGGGGUAGCAAUACCCAGUGGCAGACGGGUGAGUAACACGUGGUCAACCUACCUCUGUGUGGGGGAUAACUAGCCGAAAGGUUAGCUAAUACCGCAUACGAUCGUUUUGAGGCAUCUCGAGACGAUGAAAGGAGCAAUCCGCACGGAGAGGGGACUGCGUCCCAUUAGUUAGUUGGUGGGGUAACGGCCUACCAAGACUCCGAUGGGUAGCUGGCUUGGGAGAGCGACCAGCCACACUGGGACUGAGACACGGCCCAGACUCCUACGGGAGGCAGCAGUGGGGAAUCUUGCGCAAUGGGCGAAAGCCUGACGCAGCAACGCCGCGUGAGGGACGAAGGCCUUCGGGUUGUAAACCUCUUUCAGCAGGGACGAUUGUGACGGUACCUGCAGAAGAAGCCCCGGCCAACUACGUGCCAGCAGCCGC
Molecule: ribosomal RNA, 465 nt
Filed under: uncultured bacterium
Lineage: Bacteria
Description: SSU rRNA
Rfam family: Bacterial small subunit ribosomal RNA
Source: RNAcentral